AUCGCUUCUUGGCCUUUUGGCUAAGAUCAAGUGUAAUAUCUUCUUAUCAGUUUAAAAGGUAGUAAAGAGACUAGAAAAAAGUUACACAUAAGAGAAAUCCUAU
RNAcentral lists this small nuclear RNA (103 nucleotides) under Canis lupus familiaris (dog). RNAcentral's name for it is "U2 spliceosomal RNA (multiple genes)". It matches the Rfam family "U2 spliceosomal RNA". Rfam says of the family: U2 is a small nuclear RNA (snRNA) component of the spliceosome (involved in pre-mRNA splicing). Complementary binding between U2 snRNA (in an area lying towards the 5' end but 3' to hairpin I) and the branchpoint sequence (BPS) of the intron results the bulging out of an unpaired adenosine, on the BPS, which initiates a nucleophilic attack at the intronic 5' splice site, thus starting the first of two transesterification reactions that mediate splicing. RNAcentral also lists the same sequence under 1 other name. Lineage: Eukaryota; Metazoa; Chordata; Mammalia; Carnivora; Canidae. The record is from Rfam by way of RNAcentral.